GCUGGCUGAUGGUAAAAACAGGCAGCUGCACUGUGGAGAUGUAGUUGUCACUUACACAUGGUGAGGAAGAGGGAGACAAAGACUUCCUGCCUGUCAGGUUUUGGUGGGAACCAUUCCAGGGAUGGGAGAUGCUCUGGAGAAGGGGCCACGUCUAUGGGUACCAGCACCAGGCUUUGUGUAACCCAAGUGAAAACAGCAAAAGAGCAUUUCAGGAGACAGCGGGGAAACUGCUGGAAGCCAAAAUCAUGUCGCUCUGCUGGGCUGCACAGACCAUGGCUGGGAACCCAAAUAUUGUCCCAUGUCUGUGAGACUGGGAGGGCUGGAUCAAAUAAUAAAGAGAAAUAUAAUUAUUUUUUCCCCCCCCCA
This 366-nucleotide long non-coding RNA is filed under the name Parus major (Great Tit). RNAcentral describes it as "lncRNA (ENSPMJG00000003174.1)". The record is from RNAcentral. Lineage: Eukaryota; Metazoa; Chordata; Aves; Passeriformes; Paridae.